This 29-nucleotide non-coding RNA is filed under the name Homo sapiens (human). Lineage: Eukaryota; Metazoa; Chordata; Mammalia; Primates; Hominidae. The record is from RNAcentral.
CCACUUCCUAACGAUUCCAACCUGGAGCC